GUGAGUCAUCGAAUCUUUGAACGCACAUUGCGCCCGCCAGUAUUCUGGCGGGCAUGCCUGUUCGAGCGUCAUUUCAACCCUCAAGCCCCACGGCUUGGUGUUGGGGACCGGCCCCCGGGCCGCCCCCUAAAUGCAGUGGCGACCUCGCCGCAGCCUCCCCUGCGUAGUAGCACAACCUCGCAAGCGGAGCGCGGAGACGGUCACGCCGUAAAACGCCCAACUUUCUUAGAGUUGACCUCGGAUCAGGUAGGAAUACCCGCUGAACUUAAGCAUAUCAAUAAGCGGAGGA
RNAcentral lists this unclassified non-coding RNA (289 nucleotides) under Tolypocladium sp. Its description in RNAcentral is "partial contains 5.8S ribosomal RNA, internal transcribed spacer 2, and large subunit ribosomal RNA". The stretch from base 1 to 71 matches the Rfam family "5.8S ribosomal RNA", at positions 84 to 154 of the family's 154-position model. Lineage: Eukaryota; Fungi; Ascomycota; Sordariomycetes; Hypocreales; Ophiocordycipitaceae. The record is from RNAcentral.